CCUACGGGUGGCAGCAGUGGGGAAUAUUGCGCAAUGGGCGAAAGCCUGACGCAGCGACGCCGCGUGAGGGAUGAAGGUCUUCGGAUCGUAAACCUCUGUCAGCAGGGAAGAACGGUCACUGUGCUAAUCAGCAGUGAAUUGACGGUACCUGCAAAGGAAGCACCGGCUAACUACGUGCCAGCAGCCGCGGUAAUACGUAGGGGGCAAGCGUUAUCCGGAUUUACUGGGUGUAAAGGGAGCGUAGGCGGUGAUGCAAGUCAGAAGUGAAAGCCCGCAGCUCAACUGCGGGACUGCUUUUGAAACUGUAUGACUAGAUUGCAGGAGAGGUAAGUGGAAUUCCUAGUGUAGCGGUGAAAUGCGUAGAUAUUAGGAGGAACACCAGUGGCGAAGGCGGCUUACUGGACUGUAAAUGACGCUGAGGCUCGAAAGCGUGGGGAGCAAACAGGAUUAGAUACCCCAGUAGUC
This 465-nucleotide ribosomal RNA is filed under the name uncultured bacterium. RNAcentral's name for it is "partial 16S ribosomal RNA". It matches the Rfam family "Bacterial small subunit ribosomal RNA", at positions 338 to 795 of the family's 1533-position model. The record is from RNAcentral.